CCUACGGGGGGCAGCAGUGGGGAAUAUUGCACAAUGGGGGAAAGCCUGAUGCAGCGACGCCGCGUGAGUGAUGAAGUACUUCGGUAUGUAAAGCUCUAUUAGCAGGGAAGAAAAUGACGGUACCUGAGUAAGAAGCUCAGGACAACUACGUGCCAGCAGCCGCGGCAACACGUAGGAGGCAAGCGUUAUCCGGAUUUACUGGGUGUAAAGGGAGCGUAGACGGUAUGGCAAGUCUGGAGUGAAAGGCGGGGGCUCAACCCCCGGACUGCUCUGGAAACGGUACGGCUGGAGUGCAGGAGAGGUAAGUGGAAUUCCUGGUGUAGCGGUGAAAUGCGUAGAUAUCAGGAAGAACACCAGUGGCGAAGGCAGCUUACUGGACUGUAACUGACGUUGAGGCUCGAAAGCGUGGGGAGCAAACAGGAUUAGAUACCCCAGUAGUC
RNAcentral lists this ribosomal RNA (440 nucleotides) under uncultured bacterium. Its description in RNAcentral is "partial 16S ribosomal RNA". It matches the Rfam family "Bacterial small subunit ribosomal RNA", at positions 338 to 795 of the family's 1533-position model. The record is from RNAcentral.